AACGAACGCUGGCGGCAGGCUUAACACAUGCAAGUCGAACGCCCCGCAAGGGGAGUGGCAGACGGGUGAGUAACACGUGGGAACAUGCCCAAAGGUACGGAAUAUUCUCGGGAAACUGAGAGCAAUACCGUAUGUGCCCGAAAGGGGAAAGAUUUAUCGCCUUUGGAUUGGCCCGCGUCGGAUUAGCUAGCUGGUGGGGUAAAAGCCUACCAAGGCGACGAUCCGUAGCUGGUCUGAGAGGACGACCAGCCACACUGGGACUGAGACACGACCCAGACUCCUACGGGAGGCAGCAGUGGGGAAUCUUGGACAAUGGGCGCAAGCCUGAUCCAGCCAUGCCGCGUGGAUGAUGAAGGCCCUAGGGUUGUAAAAUCCUUUCGUUGGGGACGAUAAUGACGGUACCCAAAGAAGAAGCUCCGGCUAACUUCGUG
This 431-nucleotide ribosomal RNA is filed under the name uncultured bacterium. Its description in RNAcentral is "partial 16S ribosomal RNA". It matches the Rfam family "Bacterial small subunit ribosomal RNA", at positions 29 to 507 of the family's 1533-position model. The record is from RNAcentral.